RNAcentral lists this ribosomal RNA (408 nucleotides) under uncultured bacterium. RNAcentral describes it as "partial 16S ribosomal RNA". It matches the Rfam family "Bacterial small subunit ribosomal RNA", at positions 28 to 526 of the family's 1533-position model. The record is from RNAcentral.
GACGAACGCUGGCGGCGUGCCUAAUACAUGCAAGUAGAACGCAGUUGCGAACGGGUGAGUAACGCGUAGGUAACCUGCCCCAUAGCGGGGGAUAACUAUUGGAAACGAUAGCUAAUACCGCAUACUGUGAGGUGGACCUGCGUUGUAGUAGCUAGUUGGUGAGGUAAAGGCUCAACAAGGCGACGAUACAUAGCCGACCUGGGAGGGUGAUGAGCCGGACUGGGACUGAUACACGGGCCAGACUCCUCCGGGAGGCAGCAGUAGGGAAUCUUCGGCAAUGGACGAAAGUCUGACCGAGCAGCGCCGGGUGAGUGAAGAAGGUUUUCGGGUCGUAAAACGCUGUUGUUAGAGAAGCGGUAGCUAACCAGAAAGCCACGGCUAACUACGUGCCAGCAGCCGCGGUAAUUC